CCUACGGGAGGCUGCAGUGGGGAAUAUUGGACAAUGGGGGAAACCCUGAUCCAGCGACGCCGCGUGAGUGAAGACGUAUUUCGGUACGUAAAGCUCUAUCAGCAGGAAAGACAAUGACGGUACCUGACUCAGAAGCCCCGGCUAACUACGUGCCAGCAGCCGCGGUAAUACGGAGGGUGCGAGCGUUAAUCGGAAUUACUGGGGGUAAAGCGCUCGUAGGCGGUAUGUCAAGUCAAGGGUUAAAUCCCCGCGCUCAACGUGGGAACUGCCUUUGAAACUGGCAGACUGGAGUGUGUGAGAGGAUAGUGGAAUGCGAGGUGUAGGAGUGAAAUCCGUAGAUAUCUGGAGGAACAUCAGUGGCGAAGGCGACUAUCUGGCACAUAACUGACGCUGAGGAGCGAAAGCGUGGGUAGCAAACAGGAUUAGAUACCCUGGUAGUC
RNAcentral lists this ribosomal RNA (440 nucleotides) under uncultured bacterium. RNAcentral describes it as "partial 16S ribosomal RNA". It matches the Rfam family "Bacterial small subunit ribosomal RNA", at positions 338 to 795 of the family's 1533-position model. The record is from RNAcentral.